This 535-nucleotide ribosomal RNA is filed under the name Mycobacterium gordonae. Its description in RNAcentral is "bacterial SSU rRNA". It matches the Rfam family "Bacterial small subunit ribosomal RNA", at positions 40 to 580 of the family's 1533-position model. The record is from RNAcentral. Lineage: Bacteria; Bacillati; Actinomycetota; Actinomycetes; Mycobacteriales; Mycobacteriaceae.
UUUCGUGCUAAACACAUGCAAGUCGAACGGUAAGGCCCUUCGGGGUACACGAGUGGCGAACGGGUGAGUAACACGUGGGUAAUCUGCCCUGCACAUCGGGAUAAGCCUGGGAAACUGGGUCUAAUACCGAAUAGGACCACAGAACACAUGUCCUGUGGUGGAAAGCUUUUGCGGUGUGGGAUGGGCCCGCGGCCUAUCAGCUUGUUGGUGGGGUGAUGGCCUACCAAGGCGACGACGGGUAGCCGGCCUGAGAGGGUGUCCGGCCACACUGGGACUGAGAUACGGCCCAGACUCCUACGGGAGGCAGCAGUGGGGAAUAUUGCACAAUGGGCGAAAGCCUGAUGCAGCGACGCCGCGUGGGGGAUGACGGCCUUCGGGUUGUAAACCUCUUUCACCAUCGACGAAGGUCCGGGUUUUCUCGGAUUGACGGUAGGUGGAGAAGAAGCACCGGCCAACUACGUGCCAGCAGCCGCGGUAAUACGUAGGGUGCGAGCGUUGUCCGGAAUUACUGGGCGUAAAGAGCUCGUAGGUGGUU